CCUAUACCUCCUCUGUCCCUCAGGAGGUUUUCCAGUCAUGCCUCACUGAGCCUGAGGCAAAAACAGGACUUGCUGAAGGAAGUUUUAAAUCGCUGUCAUGGCGGAGCUUCCGUCCUCAUCUCCCACUGAACUGUUAGCAGCUAGCAGUUAGCUAUAAUCUUCCACAGCCACGAGCUGUGAGGAAUGAAAUUCCUGCAGCACCGUUGUUGGUUGAAGGAUAAUGGCCAAUCUUUUCCAUGGACAGGACUGUGAAGGUGGAAGUUGGGUCACAGCAGCAGGAGAAGCUGGUUUUCCUUUGACAAAUUUUCUUCUUCUUCUGGGUUUAUUUGCGUCUUUGGCGACUUCACAGUUUGUUUUUGCUUUUGUCUGGAAAUAAACAUCAUGAAUAAACAUGUUUAUUUAUUUCUCAGGUAAGAGAAAGAUUAUGAGAUUUAAAAACAAACAAACCUUUUUCUUGCUGAGACGACCCAGUUGGUACUCUGGCCGUUCCUCGUCCUCCUCAUCAUUUUCUUGCUCACCUUUGUCAUCAGGAGUCUCCUCUUCUUCUUUCCAGAUGAGAGCAGAGACGAGUCUAAAACAUUUUCAGACAGAAAUUCACUUUAUCUGCACCAACAGGAAGAUUUUAACUUCUUGUUUCUACUCACCGGCUGUGGCGUUCGUCUCCUCUUUCUCGUCCUCUUUUGCACGUCUCCAUCAGUCGUCGGUGUUUCUGCGAUGUCCACCUGAAAUAUCUCAUCAGAACUUUUUUUGGACUUCUUCUUCUUCUUCUUUUUCUUGGGAGU
Long non-coding RNA from Poeciliopsis prolifica (blackstripe livebearer), 782 nucleotides. RefSeq lists it as uncharacterized. The transcript is spliced from 7 exons. The record is from RefSeq and is a predicted model, not a curated record. NCBI's taxonomy places the organism in Eukaryota, Metazoa, Chordata, Actinopteri, Cyprinodontiformes, Poeciliidae.